CAGCCGCCGCGGUAAUACGGAGGGCGCGAGCGUUACCCGGAUUUACUGGGCGUAAGGGGCGUGUAGGCGGCCUGGGGCGUCCCAUGUGAAAGGCCACGGCUCGACCGUGGAGGAGCGUGGGAUACGCUCAGGCUAGAGGGUGGGAGAGGGUGGUGGAAUUCCCGGAGUAGCGGUGAAAUGCGCAGAUACCGGGAGGAGCGCCGAUGGCGAAGGCAGCCACCUGGUCCACUUCUGACGCUGAGGCGCGAAAGCGUGGGGAGCAAACCGGAUUAGAUACCCGAGUAGUCCCUGUCUCUUAUAC
RNAcentral lists this ribosomal RNA (301 nucleotides) under uncultured bacterium. RNAcentral's name for it is "partial 16S ribosomal RNA". It matches the Rfam family "Bacterial small subunit ribosomal RNA", at positions 509 to 807 of the family's 1533-position model. The record is from RNAcentral.